Molecule: ribosomal RNA, 642 nt
Filed under: uncultured bacterium
Lineage: Bacteria
Description: bacterial SSU rRNA
Rfam family: Bacterial small subunit ribosomal RNA
Source: RNAcentral
GCAAACGCAUUAAGUUCCCCGCCUGGGGAGUACGGCCGCAAGGCUAAAACUCAAAGGAAUUGACGGGGGCCCGCACAAGCGGCGGAGCAUGCGGAUUAAUUCGAUGCAACGCGAAGAACCUUACCAAGGCUUGACAUAUAGAAGAACACUGUAGAGAUACAGGACUCUUUGGACACUUCUAUACAGGUGGUGCAUGGUUGUCGUCAGCUCGUGUUGUGAGAUGUUCGGUUAAGUCCGGCAACGAGCGCAACCCUCGUCCUAUGUUGCCAGCGGGUUAUGCCGGGGACUCAUGGGAUACUGCCGUGGUCAACACGGAGGAAGGUGGGGAUGACGUCAAAUCAUCAUGCCCCUUAUGUCUUGGGCUUCACGCAUGCUACAAUGGCCGGUACAAUGGGCUGCGAUACCGUAAGGUGGAGCGAAUCCCAAAAAGCCGGUCUCAGUUCGGAUUGGGGUCUGCAACUCGACCCCAUGAAGUCGGAGUCGCUAGUAAUCGCAGAUCAGCAACGCUGCGGUGAAUACGUUCCCGGGCCUUGUACACACCGCCCGUCAAGUCAUGAAAGUCGGUAACACCCGAAGCCGAUGGCCUAACCCUUGUGGGAGGGAGUCGUCGAAGGUGGGACUGGUGAUUAGGACUAAGUCGUA